Molecule: long non-coding RNA, 1204 nt
Organism: Quercus robur (English oak)
Lineage: Eukaryota; Viridiplantae; Streptophyta; Magnoliopsida; Fagales; Fagaceae
Exons: 6
Source: RefSeq, a predicted model, not a curated record
AAGAAGCCGGAUAUCGCCAUAACUGGUGUUAGCACCUUGUAAAGUGAUGCGUUCUUGAGGUUGGAGACUCAUCCAAGAAGCAGUGGCUUUGACAAGGUUGGAACAAGAGAAACUGUUUACCUUUCAUUAUCGUUGCUGUUGCGGAUGGCCCAAAACACAUUGACACCACACUGACAGGGGUCAAAUUUGCAGAACUCUGUUCAGAUUUGCUAGACAGCCAUUUAGGAGCAUGAGGAAAUGACUGGAAAAGAGACCAAUGUGACUGUAAAUCCUUAUGAAGUUGUUGGUCUUGAAGCUAUACUUCAGGACUUAAAACUUUCAGUGGCGUACUGACAAAGAUUAUCUGAAGGAUCACAACUUUACCGAUUUCCAAAUCAUGGUUGUUUUCUUUUCCACUGCUGCAAAUGGAUGGACCAGUGUAGAGAUUAACCUCUAUCAAGGUGAGAGAGUUUGUGAGGGACAACAAAUCUCUUGGAAGCUUUCACUUAGAUGUCAUCCCACAUGUGCCACAUGGAGUUCCUCAAAUUGAGGUGAAAUGUGAUAUUGAUGCCAAUGGUAUCCUUUCAGUCACUUCAAUUGACAAGGAAAUUGGAAAGAAGCAAGAUAUUGCCAUAACUGGUGCUAGCACCUUGCCAAGUGAUAAGGAUGGUUAGAGAAGCUGAAAAGUUUGGUAAGGAAGACAUGGAAAAGAGGGAUGCCAUAGACACAAAGAACCAAGCUAACUCAAUUUUGUACCAAAUUGAGAUGGAACUUAAAGAGUAGGGAGACAAAAGUUCCUGAACCAAUCAAGGAGAAAGUAAAAGCUAAAGUGGAAGACCUCUAGGAUGCCAUCUCUGGUGGAUUAGCCCAAGCCAUUAAAGCUGCAAUGGUUGACCUAAAUCAAGAAAUUAUGUAACUGGAGCUGUCAACAUGACGUGACUUUGAAUUGGAUUCCUAUUAAAAGUCUAUUAACUUUUCCGGAUUAUCUUCUUCAGUUCUUUGCAUGCACUACAACAAUUGUCUAUCCUAAAUUUUAGGACUGCAGCUUUGUUGCUGUUGUAUUUGUAGUAUGACAAUAUCUCUUUUAUAUUGAGUAAUUUGGGUGUAUUGGGGUUUGGAUUUUGUGAGAAUUCUGUCAUACCACCUUUGUAUUUUCCAUAUUUGUUAGUGGAACUUUCUCCUUGUCUUCGCCUGUGGAUGUAGGCCAAAGGCCAAGCCACGUAAA